AACACCCAGAGGAAACUCCACUCCCAGGUGACCUGAAAUGCCCAGGAUCAGAGGUCCGUAUCUAACCUCCGGCUGAAGUGAACACAGACCCGAGUGGAGCUGCGGCUGGUUCCACUCAGAUGGCGCCUGGGCGUGGGACUCAGAUGCGGAGGAAAUAGAUAGAGGACACACUGUCUCUGACUAAAUAAAAAAGGAAAAGAAGAAAAGGAUGUAUGCCAUUCCACACGACAGGAACAUGCUGUCCUCUGAGAGGCUCCACCCAG
Long non-coding RNA from Mastomys coucha (southern multimammate mouse), 263 nucleotides. RefSeq lists it as uncharacterized. NCBI's taxonomy places the organism in Eukaryota, Metazoa, Chordata, Mammalia, Rodentia, Muridae. The transcript is spliced from 3 exons. The record is from RefSeq and is a predicted model, not a curated record.